This 622-nucleotide ribosomal RNA is filed under the name Ceratobasidium sp. AG-E. Its description in RNAcentral is "eukaryotic LSU rRNA". It matches the Rfam family "Eukaryotic large subunit ribosomal RNA", at positions 38 to 664 of the family's 3401-position model. The record is from RNAcentral. Lineage: Eukaryota; Fungi; Basidiomycota; Agaricomycetes; Cantharellales; Ceratobasidiaceae.
GCAUAUCAAUAAGCGGAGGAAAAGAAACUAACAAGGAUUCCCCUAGUAACGGCGAGUGAAGCGGGAAGAGCUCAAAUUUAAAAUCUGGCAGUGAAUUCUGUCCGAGUUGUAGUCUAGAGAAGCAUCAUCCGUGCUGGACCAUGUACAAGUCUCUUGGAACAGAGCGUCAUAGAGGGUGAGAAUCCCGUCCUUGACAUGGACUCCCAGUACUUUGUGUUGUGCUCUCAACGAGUCGAGUUGUUUGGGAAUGCAGCUCAAAAUGGGUGGUAAAUUCCAUCUAAAGCUAAAUAUUGGCGAGAGACCGAUAGCGAACAAGUACCGUGAGGGAAAGAUGAAAAGCACUUUGGAGAGAGAGUUAAACAGUACGUGAAAUUGUUGAAAUGGAAACGCUUGAAGUCAGUCGCGUUCUCUGGGAUUCAGCCUUGCUUCUGCUUGGUGCAUUUCCUAGUCUACGGGCCAGCAUGAGUUUUGACCGGUGGAAAAAGAUUUGGGGAAUGUGGCACCUUCGGGUGUGUUAUAGCCCCUUGUCACAUACACUGGUUGGGAUUGAGGUCUUAGUGCACGCUUCGGUUGUGCUUUGAUGCUGGCGUAAUGGCUUUAAACGACCCGUCUUGAAACACGG